This is a non-coding RNA of Lepisosteus oculatus (spotted gar), 301 nucleotides long. The record is from RefSeq and is a predicted model, not a curated record. Lineage: Eukaryota; Metazoa; Chordata; Actinopteri; Semionotiformes; Lepisosteidae.
CCCCCUGCAGAAGAAGCUCCCUGCUCUGCUUGAAGUCAAGGAAGAAAUUCAUAACCAGUUUUUGGCUUCAUGUUACUUUGGAGUAUCCUGAUCUUUUGGACAAAGCUGAGAUUUUUUUUUUUAUGCCGAUUCCGACAAAACUUUGUGAAACCGGAUUUUCUGCACUGGUGGCACUAAAGACCAAAUACAGGAGUAAGCUUAAUGUUGAGCCAGACCUCCGCUUGCAGCCCGACUGUCACAUUUGGUUUCUAACAGCACCAGCCCUCUUGCUAGCUCUGACCGAAGGGGACGUGAACUGUCC